AUUGAACGCUGGCGGCAUGCCUUACACAUGCAAGUCGAACGGCAGCAUGGAGAGCUUGCUCUCUGAUGGCGAGUGGCGAACGGGUGAGUAAUGCAUCGGAACGUACCGUGUAAUGGGGGAUAACGUAGCGAAAGUUACGCUAAUACCGCAUACGACCUGAGGGUGAAAGCAGGGGAUCGCAAGACCUUGCGUUAUACGAGCGGCCGAUGUCAGAUUAGCUAGUUGGUGAGGUAAAGGCUCACCAAGGCGACGAUCUGUAGCGGGUCUGAGAGGAUAGUCCGCCACACUGGGACUGAGACACGGCCAAGACUCCGACGGGAGGCAGCAGUGGGGAAUUUUGGACAAUGGGUGCAACCCUGAUCCAGCCAUGCCGCGUGAGUGAAGAAGGCCUUCGGGUUGUAAAGCUCUUUCGGCCGGGAAGAAAUCGCACAGGCUAAUACUCUGUGUGGAUGACGGUACCGGCAUAAGAAGCACCGGCUAACUACGUGCCAGCCGCCGCAGUAA
Molecule: ribosomal RNA, 504 nt
Filed under: uncultured bacterium
Lineage: Bacteria
Description: partial 16S ribosomal RNA
Rfam family: Bacterial small subunit ribosomal RNA
Source: RNAcentral